RNAcentral lists this ribosomal RNA (604 nucleotides) under uncultured Actinomycetes bacterium. RNAcentral describes it as "bacterial SSU rRNA". It matches the Rfam family "Bacterial small subunit ribosomal RNA", at positions 252 to 866 of the family's 1533-position model. Lineage: Bacteria; Bacillati; Actinomycetota; Actinomycetes. The record is from RNAcentral. RNAcentral also lists the same sequence under 2 other names.
GUGAGGUAAUGGCUCACCAAGGCGACGACGGGUAGCCGGCCUGAGAGGGCGACCGGCCACACUGGGACUGAGACACGGCCCAGACUCCUACGGGAGGCAGCAGUGGGGAAUAUUGCACAAUGGGCGAAAGCCUGAUGCAGCGACGCCGCGUGAGGGAUGACGGCCUUCGGGUUGUAAACCUCUUUCAGCAGGGAAGAAGCGAAAGUGACGGUACCUGCAGAAGAAGCGCCGGCUAACUACGUGCCAGCAGCCGCGGUAAUACGUAGGGCGCAAGCGUUGUCCGGAAUUAUUGGGCGUAAAGAGCUCGUAGGCGGCUUGUCACGUCGGUUGUGAAAGCCCGGGGCUUAACCCCGGGUCUGCAGUCGAUACGGGCAGGCUAGAGUUCGGUAGGGGAGAUCGGAAUUCCUGGUGUAGCGGUGAAAUGCGCAGAUAUCAGGAGGAACACCGGUGGCGAAGGCGGAUCUCUGGGCCGAUACUGACGCUGAGGAGCGAAAGCGUGGGGAGCGAACAGGAUUAGAUACCCUGGUAGUCCACGCCGUAAACGGUGGGCACUAGGUGUGGGCAACAUUCCACGUUGUCCGGGCCGCAGCUAACGCAUUAAGUG